GUAGCCUAGUGGUUAGAGCAGGUAGCCUAGUGGUUAGAGCAGGUAGCCUAGUGGUUAGAGCCAGGUAGCCUAGUGGUUAGAGCCAGGUAGCCUAGUGGUUAGAGCCAGGUAGCCUAGUGGUUCGAGCAGGUAGCCUAGUGUUUCGAACAGGUAGACUAGUGGUUCGAGCAGGUAGCCUAGUGGUUAGAGAAGGUAGCCUAGUUUUUAGAGCAGGUAGCCUAGUGUUUCGAACAGGUAGACUAGUGGUUCGAGCAGGUAGCCUAGUGGUUAGAGAAGGUAGCCUAGUUUUUAGAGCAGGUAGCCUAGUGGUUAGAGCAGGUAGCCUAGUGGUUAGAGCAGGUAGCCUAGUGGUUAGAGAAAGUAGCCUAGUGGUUAGAGCAGGUAGCCUAGUGGUUAGAGAAGGUAGCCUAGUGGUUAGAGCAGGUAGCCUAGUGGUUAGAGCAGGUUGCAGAGCACAUAUCUCAACCCAAACACUCAUCAACACAGAGGUGGAUACUGGGGCGGCAGGUAGCCUAGUGGUUAGUGGUUAGAGCAGGUAGCCUAGUGGUUAGAGCAGGUAGCCUAGUGGUUAGUGGUUAGAGCAGGUAGCCUAGUGGUUAGUGGUUAGAGCAGGUAGCCUAGUGGUUAGUGGUUAGAGCAGGUAGCCUAGUGGAUAGUGGUUAGAGCAGGUAGCCUAGUGGUUAGUGGUUAGAGCAGGUAGCCUAGUGGUUAGUGGUUAGAGCAAGUAGCCUAGUGGUUAGUGGUUAGAGCAGGUAGCCUAGUGGAUAGUGGUUAGAGCAGGUAGCCUAGUGGUUAGUGGUUAGAGCAGGUAGCCUAGUGGUUAGUGGUUAGAGCAAGUAGCCUAGUGGUUAGUGGUUAGAGCAGGUAGCCUAGUGGUUAGAGCAGGUAGCCUAGUGGUUAGAGCAGGUAGCCUAGUGGUUAGAGCAGG
Molecule: long non-coding RNA, 928 nt
Organism: Oncorhynchus tshawytscha (Chinook salmon)
Lineage: Eukaryota; Metazoa; Chordata; Actinopteri; Salmoniformes; Salmonidae
Source: Ensembl